Cyanistes caeruleus (blue tit) is the source of this 3481-nucleotide non-coding RNA. NCBI's taxonomy places the organism in Eukaryota, Metazoa, Chordata, Aves, Passeriformes, Paridae. The record is from RefSeq and is a predicted model, not a curated record.
GAGCCCCAAACGCCGGCAGGAUGGUCCCAAGGGCAGCAGCGCCCGCUCCAGCCGCAGCCCGUCCUCCCCCUCGCCCCAGCGCUCGGCCUCGCCGCACCAGAACGGGCACAAGGGCAGCGCCCAGAACGGCCGCCACAGCCACGGCGCCCCGCUCCCGGAGCCCUCGGAUCCUCCCAUUUGAAAAAAACCCAAACGGUAAUAUACACUUCCAUUUCUUGCUCAGCAGAAGCAGGGACGAGGGGGAGGGAAGGGCAAUGAAACGUGCUUUUUUUCCCCGCCCCCUUGUUUUAGUUUCCUUUCUCAUGAUUUCUUUUCUUUUCCCUUGUGAUGUACAGAAAUGCAAACGAUAUUUAUUUCUCUUAUUUUUAUUUCCCGCCACCCCGUCGUCGUCGUGUUGUUCUAGAAUUUUUUGCUUUUGUGUGUGUUAAUGUGGAGAAGAAAAAAAAAAAAAGAACCAAAACAAAAACUAAAACCUGAUGUGUUUUCUAAAUAUUUAUGACCGCUGAACAUUGUAUUUCCAUUUUCUAUAUUUUGAUCAAGGAAUUUAAAAGGGAAGAGAACCCAGCAGCUCUACACUGCAAAGGAGCGAAUUGUCCUUUUCCUCCUCAAAUUCGCAAAUUCCCGGUGUCCUCUGCUGGAUCCUGCUGCCGUGGCGAGGUUUUCCUCCCCGGCUGCGGGAUGAGGCCGCUGGGUGCGGGGUUAUCCAAGCGGUCAUCCCGCAUCCUGCAUCCCGACAGGAUGAGUGCUGAGCAUCCUCGGUACCCAGCCCCCUUCCCACCUCCUGCCAGCUCCCCAAAAACUCCGGGCUCGUCCGCCAGCACCCCCAGAGCCGCCGGCAGCCAGGGGUUGCCUUCCCUUUUAAAUCCCCAGUCCUGUGUCCAUCCAUCCCUGCUGCCUUCCCAGCCUUCCUCCUCCUCCUCCUCCUGGCCCACACGCACCCUCCAGCCCCUCUCUCUCUCUCUCUCUCCGGUUUUCUUUGGGCCAACACAACCCGACAUCCCUCGCCGUGUCCCACCUCCAUCCAUCGCCUUCCCUGCAUGUUAUCCGGGACUUUGCCAUGUUAUAGAGUGAUUUUUUAAGACUGAACCGCAGCCUGAUGGGGUUACAGCCACCAGCCAGCCACCCCCCCGCGGCCCCACCGCUCGGCGGCCGGCCGCAGCCUUGCCAUUGAAAAACAAACAAAAAUUAAAAUAUAUAUAUAUAUAUAAAAAUAAGAAGCUAAAGAGACCAAUUAAAAAAAAAAUAUAUAAUUAAAAAAAAAUCUAAGCAAAGCAAACGGGAUUAGCCGAGGGGUCUGGAUCACCGUACUAAAGAGUCCUUGUCUUUUUCCCAUUCUGCCCUCCAAAUGUGGAGAUUAUUGUUUUCUUUUUUUAUUAUUGCAUUCCUGUCACUGCCAAUUCCAAAGGUAGGUAUUUUGUCCACCUCUGCACGUUCACUUCUGCAGAUGAGCCUGUUGAAAAGCACCGUAGCUUGAUUUAAUGUUAUUUUCUCUUUCUUUCUGACUUUCUUUCUCCUUCUUUCUCACUCUCCUUCUCUGUCUCUCAUUUUGUCUCUUUUUGGUGGCUAUAUAUAAUUUUUUUUUUUUAUUUGUAUGGUUUUCCCCAGUUAGCUGCAAAGCCAUGCUCUUCUCUUACGUUCCUUAUUUUUAUAUAUUUUUUUUUUGCCCUGUCCACGUAAUAUUUUUUUCUUUCUUCCCCCCUUUUCUCUUCCCCGUCUCCUCGUGCUGUCGGUAGAAUGCAUUUCUGUGUCUUUCAGCCCUCCGAAUUUGUGUUCGUUUCCAUUCAGGGGCCGAGCACGGCUGUUCCCUUUCAGUCCCCCAUUAGUGGCUGGGUAAUGAAGGCAGAUAUACUUAGGGAGAAAUAGGGGCAGUGACCACAGAUAGAAAUGGGCACAGGGGGUUUUGGGGUGGAUGGAUGGGGCAAGAAAUGAGAAAUCUGGGGAGAUGUGUGGGUUUAGCCCCUAUUCAGGGGGGAAAAACCCCAGCUCAGGGAAAAUACUGAGGGAGGCUGCAGUAGGGAAAGGUUUAAAUUUUCCUGCGUGGAGAGAGGCAGGUCCAGGACAUCCUGCGAGGGGCAGGGGACAGCAUCCCUGCGCUGGCUGUCCCAUCCCCACAGCGCCCAGUGUGUGUUUUCCCUCUUAGGCUGAGUCUUUGGCAAUUUGGGUUUAUUUGGGAUGCUUUUAUCUUUGUUCCCUUCCUGCACGCCAGGGCAGGAGACUCCAGGGUUUGGGUGGGAACCCUGCAUCCCACACCCUGAGCCCACAGCAUGGCCAGCCAGUGCCAAAAUGCCACUCUGGGAAAGAGGACCUCCCUCUCUUUCUCUCUUCAUCAUUCUCUUCUUCUUCAUCAUCUUCUCUGCUUUAAUGUUCCUCUCCUGGGAUGCAGGGCUGGGCAUGGGCUCUCCUGAUCCCCUGUUCCGAGGCUGCUGCAUCCCCCUGGAGCAGAUCCGUGUCCCCCGGCGCUUGCAGGGCAGCUGGGCAGGGCUGAUCGUCACUGCCAGCCUCCCCCUCGCUGCAGCCAUCGCAACAGCAACUGGUUUUUAAUAAAAACCCCAAUUUCCCCCCAUUUUGCCUGCUCUGUGGCUGGAGGGAUUGGCUUUUCCAUGGGGACAAGGAGUUGAUGGGGUGUGGAGCAGUCUGGGAUGCUCGGGGACAUGGAAGCCUCGCAUCCCUUUUGCAGCAUCUUUGUGGUGGCCCCCACAAUGCCAGCCCUUCACCCUGCCCUUUCUUUUUGGGGGAAGAAAAGUGGCAUUGAGAACACAGUUGGAUGGGUGGAGAGACCCUCAGCCUCGAGGAUUCACACUGACCAUUCACUGGUGUAUUUGGGGCAAGGGGAUGGCAAGGAACUGGGGUCACCAGCCCUGGGUUUGGUGGCACAAUCCUGGCAGCACCCCAAUAUCCCUGAACCCCCUGUGAUCCCCUCAGCUGGGCUCAGCGAUGCCCUGUGCAGGAUUCACCCUCCCAGGGGUUCUCAGGGACCUGGCACUGGGCUGUGGCUGGGGGGAAGGAGACCCCAAAGCCCCCUCUGAGCUGAGGUUUGCCAGCUUGUUCAGGACUGGUGUUGCAGGAGCCGUUUCCAGCCAUCUUUUUGCUCUCGUGGUGUUUGCAGAUGGGGGGAACACCCAGGCGGCGUUUGUGGCUCAGAGGAGCUCAGAUAUUUGGGAGCCUCAGGGCUGGGCAAAAUCCCUUGAGGUCUCAGUGAGAGCCUGGCUCAGGGCUUGGCCACGGUGGUGGCCCAAGGUUUCCCCUCCCUGUAGGAGAAGUGAGUUGGUUUGUUUUAUUUCUCCUCUCUCUGGCUCUGUCUCUGUCUCUCCUCCUUCUCUCGCUCUUUCUUUCUCUCUUGCAUUUUUGUGAAUCUAAUGAUGCACUUAUAUUGCCCCGCUUUUCCCUUCUCUUCAUACCUUACCUACUAAAGGAGGAAAUGCCACUUUUUUGGUAAGUGGAUGUUAACCAAGAGGGACUUAAAAAAAAAAAAAAAAAAAAA